GAAGCGGCAACAGCUCAAAUUUGAAAUCUGGCGCCCGCCCGAGUUGUAAUUUGGAGAGGAUGCCUCGGGGGGGCGGGCCGGUCUAAGUUCCUUGGGAUGGGACGUCACAGAGGGUGAGAGCCCCGUAUGCGACCGGUCGGCCCCCGCCACGUGGCUCCUUCGACGAGUCGAGUUGUUUGGGAAUGCAGCUCUAAAUGGGAGGUAAAUUUCUUCUAAAGCUAAAUACCGGCCGGAGACCGAUAGCGCACAAGUAGAGUGAUCGAAAGAUGAAAAGCACUUUGGAAAGAGAGUGAAACAGCACGUGAAAUUGUUGAAAGGGAAGCGCAGGCCACCAGACCUGCCGGCGGUGUUCCGUCGGUCUCCUGACCGGCCCACUCGCCGCCGGCAGGCCAGCAUCGCCUGGGCGCGCCGGACAAAGGCGCGGGGAAUGUGGCUCCUCGGAGCGUUAUAGCCCCGCGCGCAAUACGGCGCCGCCCGGGUGAGGUCCGCGCUCUGGCUAGGAUGCUGGCGUAAUGGUGGCCUGCGGCCCGUCUUGAAACACGGACCGAGGAGUCUAACAUCCAUGCGAGUGUUCGGGUGUCAAACCCCUACGCGUAAUGAAAGUGAACGGAGGUGGGAGGCGUGAGCCGCACCAUCGACCGAUCCUGAUGUCGUCGGAUGGAUUUGAGUAGGAGCAUGGCUGUUGGGACCCGAAAGAUGGUGAACUAUGCCUGGAUAGGGUGAAGCCAGAGGAAACUCUGGUGGA
This 745-nucleotide ribosomal RNA is filed under the name Teratosphaeria epicoccoides. RNAcentral's name for it is "eukaryotic LSU rRNA". It matches the Rfam family "Eukaryotic large subunit ribosomal RNA", at positions 95 to 871 of the family's 3401-position model. Lineage: Eukaryota; Fungi; Ascomycota; Dothideomycetes; Mycosphaerellales; Teratosphaeriaceae. The record is from RNAcentral.